CUAAUUUUAUGUUGAAAUGAAGCCAUAGGUUACAAAGAUGGAAACAUGCAAUAGUAACUGAUAUCAGAGCUUUUUCUUUUGCCCUGAUUAGGUAAAGUAUAGAGGAAUGUACUUUAUGAAUCUAUGGAUAUAGUUAUUCACUUGUUUUUCUUCAUUUUCUUCAUUUAGAUUCAGAGCAGCAUGGUUUCCAAAGAUGCUAGAUAUCCCCUAAACCUAAUAAAGUCAGCUGAAGCUCCAGAUUUGCUGAGAUGACUGCUUCCGCAGAGCACUGCUCACUGGAGUGCUCUUUCUCACCAUGGUGGAAGUAGACUUGUGCCCUGGUUACCCUGGGCCUUGGCUAUUGGUGGCCCCUGCAACUGUGAGACUGGAGGAGGGUAAGCUGGCUCCCUGGGUGGCAGCUGUGCUAAUGCCAAGAUAAAACCAAAUGCUAUUACCUCCAUCCGUGUAGUUACCAGGGGACAACAGUAUAGCCCCCAAGCUCUUCUAAAUGGAAUUGAGUUGAGUCUUCUCUGAGAUAAAGCAAUCGGAAUGGAGGAGAAUCACCAAGUCACCUGCUCCUCAGAUCAGAAGGUGAUUGUGGCUUUGAGUCGAUAUUGAACAGCCACAGCACUGCCUGGUCAGAAAGAGCAAGUGUACUAGCCUUUUACUUCUUAAAGAUCUCGACUCUCAUCAAGUGUCAAGGUUUGAAACCUGAAGGAGAAUGCUGUUGCUUUACUGUGGAUAUCACAUCACCAGCUGCCUUUCCACAUAAAGUGGUAGAUUUCAUCAUAGCAUCUCUUCUGAAGAAUCCAGGAGCAGAGUAUCAAGGCAAUACAGGUGAGUGAUACAGUGACAGUCUCAGUGAUGGAAAGCACUCCAUGUACUUUGUCCUAAGAAAGGAACUUGAUUUCUUCAUUUUUGUGAAUUUAUACACAUAAUCACUUUUGAAAUUGAAAAUAAAAAUGUGCUUAAAUAGGAAUAAUGCA
Anser brachyrhynchus (Pink-footed goose) is the source of this 965-nucleotide long non-coding RNA. NCBI's taxonomy places the organism in Eukaryota, Metazoa, Chordata, Aves, Anseriformes, Anatidae. The record is from Ensembl.